RNAcentral lists this ribosomal RNA (327 nucleotides) under Holothuroidea sp. H._granosa_10_SEC2. RNAcentral's name for it is "partial large subunit ribosomal RNA". Lineage: Eukaryota; Metazoa; Echinodermata; Holothuroidea. The record is from RNAcentral.
GGGGUCUUUUAAAUGGAGCCUCGGGUGAACGGUUUAGCAUUCCUGUUCUGUGUUCCCUCCCAGGAGUAAUAAUUCUUUUCUGAGUGAAGAAACCCAGAUAAGGCCAAAAAGACGAGAAGACCCUGUCGAGCUUUAACCUUUAGGUGAAGUCUUAAACCCCUCUUAGACAUCACCCAAAGGUUUUGGUUGGCGGCAACCAUGGAGAAAAUAAACCCUCCAGAGCAAAUCAAAAGAAAGUAAUUAACUAUUACUCCUAACAGAGAACCAGGAACUGGAAUUCACAACAAGUUACCGCAGGGGUAACAGCGAAAUCCCCUCUAAGAGUCC